Molecule: ribosomal RNA, 253 nt
Filed under: uncultured bacterium
Lineage: Bacteria
Description: partial 16S ribosomal RNA
Rfam family: Bacterial small subunit ribosomal RNA
Source: RNAcentral
UACGAAGGGGGCUAGCGUUAAUCGGAAUUACUGGGCGUAAAGCGUGCGCAGGCGGCUUUGCAAGACGGAUGUGAAAUCCCCGGGCUCAACCUGGGAACUGCAUUUGUGACUGCAAGGCUAGAGUACGGUAGAGGGGGAUGGAAUUCCGCGUGUAGCAGUGAAAUGCGUAGAUAUGCGGAGGAACACCGAUGGCGAAGGCAAUCCCCUGGACCGGUACUGACGCUCAUGCACGAAAGCGUGGGGAGCAAACAGG